This is a non-coding RNA of Paramuricea clavata, 2256 nucleotides long. The record is from the annotation of a GenBank genome assembly. NCBI's taxonomy places the organism in Eukaryota, Metazoa, Cnidaria, Anthozoa, Malacalcyonacea, Plexauridae.
CAUAUAUCCAAACUUAAAAAGUUUUUAAAAACUUGUAUUUUGGGUGCUUAAUUGCCAAAAUUUCAGACUAGUGGUUCUUAACCUACUGGUGGGGCUUUACUGUAUAUCAAAUAACUUAUGCAUAAUGAAGUCUCAAGGCUUGAUGCCUGCGAGAAAUACUGGUCUUAAUAGUCAUGACCUGGGACAAUUUCGAUAGUGGCCAUUUGCAAUUGUUUCAUUUUCCUGGGCGAUGACUACUAUUAAAUCGAGCAGUAUGAUGCCCACAUUGGAACACACAAUUGUAUAUAAUAAUGCUCACAAUUUCUUUCUUAUUUAUAUAUAUAGUCAUUACAAAUAAUGGUCAUCUGAAGCUGAUGUAUUAAACAAAAAUGUCAACAAAAUAGAUUUUGUCUCCCGAUUGGCAGAUUCAUUGUUCAGUUGUUCUACAGUAGGGGUAGCCUUGAAGGUGCCACUAAAAUGAUACAGUAGUUGGGACAAAACUGACUUCAAAGGGCCUGUUCAUAUGGGCAAAAGUUAUCUCGGUUUAAGGCCCUGUUCACAUGAUCCCGGGAUAAACAACUGCCCCGCGACAAGUCAUUGACCCAGGGUACUGAUAUCUUCUGUUCACAUGAAUAAAGCUAGCGCGCCGGGUCAUGCCUAUAAAUACAUUACGCGGUAAUCAUAAAAUAUUCCUGCCAACGGGAAAUGGUGAAAUAUUGCUAAAUAAAAAACAUUCUGAUAAAUGCAAGUUGUCGUUAUUUCUUGUUAUGAUAUUUACAAAUAGAACGUACUAGUUGAUUAUCAGCCGUAAUAAAAUGUGCUCAAUUCAUUGUUUCUGGUUGACCAGAUCAAAUUCUUUGAGUAACAUACUACAUGAUAUUAGCGACAAUUUUAUUUCAAUAUUUUUAGAAUCAUCACUUAUAGAUUUCUAAUGAUAUCGUCAAUCAAAUAACAAGUUUUUGUGGAGUCCAACGUGCUCUAAAUGUAAUUUUAGCCACGAUUUUGAUCGUUUCACCAAAAUUCAAUUAUUCCGGGACAGUGUUCACAUGAGGAAAAGUUGUCCCAGCAAGGCGAGUGUCCCUGUCUAUAGAAGUGAGGCACUCGGGUCAAUUCUUGUCCCAGGACAAGUAAAAUAUCAUGUGAACAGCACUAUUCUUUUACUGAGGAGCCAAGACAAUUUUUGUCCCGCGACAAUUGCUUGCCCCGAGACAUAACGCUGUCCCGGGUUCAUGUGAACAGGGCCUAAGGAGAAAACUUUUCGACUAGCCAAAUACUUUUGUUCUGUUCACAUGGAGAAACUUUACCUCGCUUACCGGGUAAAGUUUCCGGCUGUGACGUAGCGCUGAACAUGAAUUGAAUUGAAAAGUUGCUGACACAACAGAAAGUUAUCCCGCUAAGCGGGAAAGUUGUGUUCAUAUGGGAAAAACACCGAGGUCUCGGUACACGGAAAAAGUUGUUGUCUCAUAUGAACGCAAUGUAACUUUUCAUAUUAUUUUCAUACCAAGGUGAGAUCUCGCUUGAAACUUCUUGAAAAGUUUUCUCGCUAACACAGAUAACUUUUGCCCAUAUGAACAGGCCCUUACUGGUAGUAUUUUUAUGUAUGAAAUUUUAAUUAAAUUCUACAUAUCCAAUGAUUCAUUCAAGUAUUAUUAUUGUUUGUUAUACAUGUUAUUGUACAGUAUUCAGUGGCAAGCUAGCCAUGACAACUGGUCAAGCUAAAAUUGCCAAUAAACCUGCAUCUAUCUGAAUAAUGCAAAUCAUUAAAAAUGUGCAUAGCAUGAUCUGUAGACUUUCACAAAGUCCUUCCUCUUUUUAGAACGAAGGAAUUUUCAAGGAAGUAAUUUCUUGAAGAGUAAGGAAUUUGUGGAAGUCAAUAGGAUUUAAUAGAAUCAUAGAGAUUAUAAAUAACACUAGAGGAGGCAUCGCAAUCUUGACAUUAGGCAAAAAAGGAAUCCUGCUAUUGGGGGCAAAUUCCUGCAUGUGUACUUGUGUUCCCAUUGGUGAGAGCAUGAUUUUAUAUCCGGGACCUACAUUUGCCCCCCCCCCCCUAGACGUGUUCCCAAAUUUUUAACCUCAAUGCCUCUUCUAGUGUUAUUUAUAAUCUUUAUGAUUAGAAUAUCUAGCCGACCUUCGACUUUGUGCAAGCUGUUUUCGUAUUCAAACUGCACUUUUCCUACCUUCUGGUGUCUUAGGGGUGUCUUAGGGGUGCCUUACGUGCUUGUGUGAUGGAAGACGGGUUGAGGCAGCAUUUUCCUUGCGAUAGUAACUUCUAGUUUU